This 2282-nucleotide small RNA is filed under the name Rattus norvegicus (Norway rat). RNAcentral's name for it is "uncharacterized LOC102553843". Lineage: Eukaryota; Metazoa; Chordata; Mammalia; Rodentia; Muridae. The record is from RNAcentral.
GGGAGUUUCUACCGGAAGUAUUAACUGGUGCACCUGCAUAACCCAAGCCCCCAACCACAAUUCCUAGGUCUUAAAUGUACAGACUGGGCUAGGGGGAGCUGAGGCAGGAGGAGCGCCGGGAGUUCCAGGCCAGUCUAGACCACAAAGUGACACUCUGGCUCAGAAAAUAAACAAAGCUGGGUAUUGUGACAGCUGCCUAUAAUUUUAGGGAUACAACGUUAGUUAGUCUCCAGCCUGAGCUAUGAGAGAGAAAGAGAGGGAGAUGGAGAGGGAAGGAGGGAAGGAAAGAUUAGCGGUGUAAAGUGCACUCAGGUCCCUUGGUCCACCCCCAGCACCCGAAGAAUAAAAUUUUUAAAAGACCAUUACGUGUAUGUAGCCCAGUGAUUAGGUAUUUCCUCAUGUGUGAUGUUUUUGGAACUAGCAAAUGAUGUUUACAGGAAGAGUGAUGGAGCGAGAUGCCCAAAAUCCUUCUCUGGCUUUCACACACUUUGUACAGGCAAGCACACCCAAGAUCGCAUCACACAUACAUAAUUUUGUCUUUACGGGGUUCACUAACCCUAUGCUUCCACAGUCCCUAGCCCUGCUGCUCUCUGUGAAUAGCCCCUCUUUAGGGGAAAGAUGAAGUAGGGAUUGCAUAUCUGCCCUAACUAAAAGGGGUGAAGGAGCCGGUUGUAAUGGCACACACUUUUAAUUCCAGCAUUGGGGAGGCAAAGGCAGGCAGAUCUGAGUUUGAGGCCAGGAAAAGAAAGAAGAAAGAAAGAAAGAAAAGGCGCGCGGGAGUUGGCGGGGAUGGGGUGAGGAGGUGGGGGUGAGACAAAGGUCCAAAAGGAGAGGAGGUGCUGAUUCCCCGAACUAGAAAGGACUAAAAAAAAUUUUUUUUCUUUUUGAUCUUUUGAGAAAGGACCUUCAGUACCCCAGACUGGCUUUGAACUCCCUAUGUCACGGAGGGUAUCUUUCCAUCUCCUAUGUGCUGGGAUUACAGGAUAAAAGCUCCACUGGACUCAGGACUUUGUCCUCGUCGCUACUGGAACAUAGUGAGCACAGAGAUGCUGGGAGCUGACCAACAUUCUCUGCUUAAUAAAAGAGGAAGCUGUGGCUCACAACCUGCUGAAACAUAGCAGGGAAAAGGGCGGUGCAAAGAGGGAAGCUAGCCCGCGGGGGCAUCGUGACCCUAGCAUCCUGGAGAUGCCUGGAGGUGUCUCAGAGCUUGGGUGGUCCCAGCCCCACGCGGAAGUCGCGGGGGCGAGGAGUUGAAUGAGCUCUGCUUAGGGCGAAAAGCCAGAGCUGAAGAACCCGAACCCCAGCCGGCAGGACCUCACAAGCUUUCCAGAAAGCCCCAGGCUUUCCCACUUCCUCUCCCAGGAUGCCUCACCGCCAAGCAGGGUGUGAACAAAGACGGCUUCUACCAGAAGCUGGAGCGGCUCACAUUGAAGCUUUUGAACCAUUGUCACGACAUGAUGGGCUUCGCGUUCUUACUUAUUCUGCACUUUUGCUAUGCACGAGUUUUCCUAUUACCCUGAUUCAGUUGCUCUUCCCUCGUUCAGACUGGACUUUUGGGUUUUGUUGGAGGAGAUUGCUUCACAGUGGAAUGACCAAAAGCAGUUUUAGUAUUUCCUUUCCUUUCCUCUUCUUUUCUUUUUAUUUCUUUCUUUUUUUAGUAUUUCCCUUCUUUUGGGCCAGUCUCCUAGGAUUUUUGUUUUGUUUUGUUUCUUUUCUUUUUUUCAGAGCUAGGCAAGCGCUCUACCACUGAGCUAAAUCCCCAACCCCAGGAUUUUUGUUUUUAAUUCAAAAAGAAUAAUAAGACGAAGCUAGGCAGAUACUUAAGUUGGUUAAGUGUCACAAAAGCUUGAGGACCUGAGUUCAAUUCCUGACGCCUAUAAAAAAAAAAAAAAAGGAAAAAACCCAAAAAACAAUAAUCUUCCUGUCAUGCGAACACUGGGGAAACACACAGUGGGUUCAUGGGUCUUGGCUAGUGAGAAUAAUUGAAUUAGUGUGCCACAGAUUCAGUGAGAGCCCCUCUCUCAAAAAAGGUAGAGAUCGAUUUAAGAACAUACUCAAUGUUGACCUUUACACACACAAGUAAAAGCUUCGAUGUGUAUUUUAUUUUGCAAGGUAGUGCAAAUCGUGGCUUAUUUUGCCCCAUAUUCAGAAAUCAAGCCAAACGGCUCCGGUUAAAUUGUGUUCCUUAUGUAGGCCUUCCCUUUUUUCUGUACGAUAUUUGCAAAAACAUGAUUUAUUUCUGGAUUUCCACUCUCUCCACAUAAACAUACCUUUUAACACCA